CGGAGAGCCACGGGCUCCGUACCUCCCAUUACAGUCCUUCCCGGUUAUAUGCCCAGCUGCCAAGGCCAUGAGCAGACAAGCCUAAAAUCUGAGUUUGGUCUAGAAGCUGUACGGGGUCUCCUGGGUACCCCCACUUCACUCCUGACCCUCCUCUAAGAAUCUCCAUGCAGUGGAAAGGUGAGAUAUCUCAUCCCACCAACUUGGAGC
Molecule: long non-coding RNA, 207 nt
Filed under: Mustela putorius furo (domestic ferret)
Lineage: Eukaryota; Metazoa; Chordata; Mammalia; Carnivora; Mustelidae
Description: lncRNA (ENSMPUG00000027261.1)
Source: RNAcentral